GCCCGCUCGCCGGAAGACCAAGGGUUCCUGUCCAACGUUAAUCGGGGCAGGGUGAGUCGACCCCUAAGGCGAGGCCGAAAGGCGUAGUCGAUGGGAAACGGGUUAAUAUUCCCGUACUUGGUGUUACUGCGAAGGGGGGACGGAGAAGGCUAUGUUGGCCGGGCGACGGUUGUCCCGGUUUAAGCGUGUAGGCUGGUUUUCCAGGCAAAUCCGGAAAAUCAAGGCUGAGGCGUGACGACGAGGCACUACGGUGCUGAAGCAACAAAUGCCCUGCUUCCAGGAAAAGCCUCUAAGCAUCAGGUAACACGAAAUCGUACCCCAAACCGACACAGGUGGUCAGGUAGAGAAUACCAAGGCGCUUGAGAGAACUCGGGUGAAGGAACUAGGCAAAAUGGUGCCGUAACUUCGGGAGAAGGCACGCUGACAUGUAGGUGAAGUGAUUUACUCAUGGAGCUGAAGUCAGUCGAAGAUACCAGCUGGCUGCAACUGUUUAUUAAAAACACAGCACUGUGCAAACACGAAAGUGGACGUAUACGGUGUGACGCCUGCCCGGUGCCGGAAGGUUAAUUGAUGGGGUCAGCGCAAGCGAAGCUCCUGAUCGAAGCCCCGGUAAACGGCGGCCGUAACUAUAACGGUCCUAAGGUAGCGAAAUUCCUUGUCGGGUAAGUUCCGACCUGCACGAAUGGCGUAAUGAUGGCCAGGCUGUCUCCACCCGAGACUCAGUGAAAUUGAACUCGCUGUGAAGAUGCAGUGUACCCGCGGCAAGACGGAAAGACCCCGUGAACCUUUACUAUAGCUUGACACUGAACAUUGAGCCUUGAUGUGUAGGAUAGGUGGGAGGCUUUGAAGUGUGGACGCCAGUCUGCAUGGAGCCGACCUUGAAAUACCACCCUUUAAUGUUUGAUGUUCUAACGUGGACCCGUGAUCCGGGUUGCGGACAGUGUCUGGUGGGUAGUUUGACUGGGGCGGUCUCCUCCUAAAGAGUAACGGAGGAGCACGAAGGUUGGCUAAUCCUGGUCGGACAUCAGGAGGUUAGUGCAAUGGCAUAAGCCAGCUUGACUGCGAGCGUGACGGCGCGAGCAGGUGCGAAAGCAGGUCAUAGUGAUCCGGUGGUUCUGAAUGGAAGGGCCAUCGCUCAACGGAUAAAAGGUACUCCGGGGAUAACAGGCUGAUACCGCCCAAGAGUUCAUAUCGACGGCGGUGUUUGGCACCUCGAUGUCGGCUCAUCACAUCCUGGGGCUGAAGUAGGUCCCAAGGGUAUGGCUGUUCGCCAUUUAAAGUGGUACGCGAGCUGGGUUUAGAACGUCGUGAGACAGUUCGGUCCCUAUCUGCCGUGGGCGCUGGAGAACUGAGGGGGGCUGCUCCUAGUACGAGAGGACCGGAGUGGACGCAUCACUGGUGUUCGGGUUGUCAUGCCAAUGGCACUGCCCGGUAGCUAAAUGCGGAAGAGAUAAGUGCUGAAAGCAUCUAAGCACGAAACUUGCCCCGA
RNAcentral lists this ribosomal RNA (1489 nucleotides) under Salmonella enterica subsp. enterica serovar Montevideo. Its description in RNAcentral is "partial 23S ribosomal RNA". It matches the Rfam family "Bacterial large subunit ribosomal RNA", at positions 1328 to 2802 of the family's 2925-position model. Lineage: Bacteria; Pseudomonadati; Pseudomonadota; Gammaproteobacteria; Enterobacterales; Enterobacteriaceae. The record is from RNAcentral.